Non-coding RNA from Caenorhabditis elegans, 21 nucleotides. Lineage: Eukaryota; Metazoa; Nematoda; Chromadorea; Rhabditida; Rhabditidae. The record is from Ensembl.
UAUGACUUGCGUUGAUUUGGU